Amphimedon queenslandica is the source of this 590-nucleotide long non-coding RNA. RefSeq lists it as uncharacterized. Lineage: Eukaryota; Metazoa; Porifera; Demospongiae; Haplosclerida; Niphatidae. The record is from RefSeq and is a predicted model, not a curated record. The transcript has 8 exons.
AGAUAGACAAGAUUCUUAAAAAAAGAGGUCACAGUAAAGUAUUUGAAGAGAGAUUUGGUGGCAGUUUUUAGACCAAAUCAUGUCAUGGCUGUGAACACAAUGUCAUUCUAAUGAAACCUUGUCUUCAUUGAGGAAGAGAGUGAGCGAGAGACUUGAAGUAACUCUGGAACAAAUUCAGAUAGGAACGACAGAGAAUGGUUAACUUAUUAUAAUAUGUUACUAUAAGUUCAGUCUCACUAAAGAGCAUCAGAUAAUUGUCAGGACAAUUGGUGUUGGUGGAUAUAGAACUUCAACACUUGAUUCUAAUACUGAGAGAUGAAAGAUUGCUCUAAGACAAAAAAGAGUUCACUGUAAAGUAUUUGAGGAGAGAGUCAGUGGGCAGCUAUUGGACCAAAUUAUGUCACAGCUGUGAACACAGGUUCAAGAAGCAGCAGGGUUUCACAUCCCUCCAGCUCUCAGUCAUUUACUCUAGGAGUCUCACUGAGAGUCUCUAGGAGUUUGUAUGAGGAGACAUGCUUGGAGUAACAACCUUUCUGGAGAGUGUCAAGAUAAGAGGGACACUUUAAAGCGUACAUGCAUCAAGACUCCUC